Molecule: non-coding RNA, 286 nt
Organism: Marmota flaviventris (yellow-bellied marmot)
Lineage: Eukaryota; Metazoa; Chordata; Mammalia; Rodentia; Sciuridae
Source: RefSeq, a predicted model, not a curated record
GGAAAGUGUUCCAGGCCAGGGGUCAUCACGUGCAAAGUCCCCAGGCAGGUCCAGUGUGUGUGCCGGAAGCUGGGACGGUCCCGGUGGAGCCAGAGCCGGAAGUACUGUACUGGAGGUGGAACCUGGAGAACCUGGCACAUGAGAGGCAAGCACUCCACCACCAAGCUGCACCUCAGCCCAGCUGUUUUUAGUUCUUUGGGUAUAUAUUUAGGAUUGGGAUUUCUGGGUCAACUGGUGCCUUUCUCUGUAACUUUUUGAGGAAUCACCAGAAGGCUUUUGCCGAGCA